This 253-nucleotide ribosomal RNA is filed under the name uncultured bacterium. RNAcentral's name for it is "partial 16S ribosomal RNA". It matches the Rfam family "Bacterial small subunit ribosomal RNA", at positions 524 to 776 of the family's 1533-position model. The record is from RNAcentral.
UACGUAGGGUGCGAGCGUUAAUCGGAAUUACUGGGCGUAAAGCGCGCGUAGGUGGUUUGUUAAGUUGGAUGUGAAAGCCCCGGGCUCAACCUGGGAACUGCAUUCAAAACUGACAAGCUAGAGUAUGGUAGAGGGUGGUGGAAUUUCCUGUGUAGCGGUGAAAUGCGUAGAUAUAGGAAGGAACACCAGUGGCGAAGGCGACUACCUGGCCUGUUCUUGACGCUGAGGCGCGAAAGCUAGGGGAGCAAACGGG